GGAGGAGAAGUCGUAACAAGGUUACCGUAGGUGAACCUGCGGUAGGAUCAUUG
Molecule: ribosomal RNA, 53 nt
Filed under: Gnetum aff. microcarpum Won 526
Lineage: Eukaryota; Viridiplantae; Streptophyta; Gnetopsida; Gnetales; Gnetaceae
Description: partial 18S ribosomal RNA
Rfam family: Eukaryotic small subunit ribosomal RNA
Source: RNAcentral